CUACAGGCUUAACACAUGCAAGUCGAGGGGUAGCAGGGUAGCAAUACCGCUGACGACCGGCGCACGGGUGAGUAACACGUAUCCAACCUUCCCAUAACUCGGGGAUAGCCUUUCGAAAGAAAGAUUAAUACCCGAUAGUACUUUUUCAAGGCAUCUUGAGAAAGUUAAAGAUUUAUUGGUUAUGGAUGGGGAUGCGUUCCAUUAGAUAGUUGGUGAGGUAACGGCUCACCAAGUCUUCGAUGGAUAGGGGUUCUGAGAGGAAGGUCCCCCACAUUGGUACUGAGACACGGACCAAACUCCUACGGGAGGCAGCAGUGAGGAAUAUUGGUCAAUGGGCGAGAGCCUGAACCAGCCAAGUAGCGUGAAGGAUGACGG
RNAcentral lists this ribosomal RNA (375 nucleotides) under uncultured Bacteroidales bacterium. RNAcentral's name for it is "bacterial SSU rRNA". It matches the Rfam family "Bacterial small subunit ribosomal RNA", at positions 40 to 414 of the family's 1533-position model. Lineage: Bacteria; Pseudomonadati; Bacteroidota; Bacteroidia; Bacteroidales. The record is from RNAcentral.